RNAcentral lists this ribosomal RNA (492 nucleotides) under uncultured bacterium. Its description in RNAcentral is "partial 16S ribosomal RNA". It matches the Rfam family "Bacterial small subunit ribosomal RNA", at positions 29 to 507 of the family's 1533-position model. The record is from RNAcentral.
AUUGAACGCUGGCGGCAUGCUUUACACAUGCAAGUCGAACGGUAACAGGCCUUCGGGUGCUGACGAGUGGCGAACGGGUGAGUAAUGCAUCGGAACGUACCCAGAGGUGGGGGAUAACGCAGCGAAAGCUGUGCUAAUACCGCAUGUGAUCUGAGGAUGAAAGCGGGGGACCGAGCAGCAAUGUUUGGCCUCGCGCCUUUGGAGCGGCCGAUGUCGGAUUAGCUAGUUGGUGGGGUAAAGGCCUACCAAGGCGACGAUCCGUAGCUGGUCUGAGAGGACGACCAGACACACUGGGACUGAGACACGGCCAAGACUCCUACGGGAGGCAGCAGUGGGGAAUUUUGGACAAUGGGCGCAAGCCUGAUCCAGCAAUGCCGCGUGCGGGAAGAAGGCCUUCGGGUUGUAAACCGCUUUUGGCAGGAACGAAACGGUGUCCGCUAAUACCGGGCGCUAAUGACGGUACCUGCAGAAUAAGCACCGGCUAACUACGUG